RNAcentral lists this ribosomal RNA (155 nucleotides) under uncultured Bacillota bacterium. RNAcentral's name for it is "uncultured Firmicutes bacterium partial 16S ribosomal RNA". It matches the Rfam family "Bacterial small subunit ribosomal RNA", at positions 367 to 514 of the family's 1533-position model. Lineage: Bacteria; Bacillati; Bacillota. The record is from RNAcentral.
GGCAAUGGGGGAAACCCUGACCGAGCAACGCCGCGUGAAGGAAGAAGGUUUUCGGAUUGUAAACUUCUGUUAUAAAGGAAGAACGGCGGCUACAGGAAAUGGUAGCCGAGUGACGGUACUUUAUUAGAAAGCCACGGCUAACUACGUGCCAGCAG